RNAcentral lists this ribosomal RNA (253 nucleotides) under uncultured bacterium. Its description in RNAcentral is "partial 16S ribosomal RNA". It matches the Rfam family "Bacterial small subunit ribosomal RNA", at positions 524 to 776 of the family's 1533-position model. The record is from RNAcentral.
UACAGAGGUCCCAAGCGUUGUUCGGAUUCAUUGGGCGUAAAGGGUGCGUAGGCGGUGGGGUAAGUUGGAUAUGAAAUCUUGGGGCUUAACCUCAAAAUUGCAUUCAAUACUGCUCCGCUCGAGUUCUGUAGAGGAGAUUGGAAUUUACGGUGUAGCAGUGAAAUGCGUAGAUAUCGUAAGGAACGCCAGUGGCGAAAGCGAAUCUCUGGGCAGCAACUGACGCUGAGGCACGAAGGCCAGGGGAGCAAACGGG